UUUCGGUGCGCAUAGGCGCGAAAACGGAACCCGAAAGGCUAACUUGGGCCGUGAACUAAAUCCGGCAUUAGCGAGGAUGGAAAGAUGAUGAAAACAUGUUUGAAAAUAUGUUUGGAGAGUCUCGGUUCGAUUUGGAAUGAAUCGGAGGUCAAACGAACGAAAACGAGCGAAAACGGAGCGAAAACGGACGAAGCUGAAAAUUGGCUAAGUCUAGGCUGGAGGUCUCUCUGGGACCGGUCCCAGGCAGAGAGACCGGUCUCUAAGGGACCAGUCCCUCAUGCAGAGACCGGUCCCCGAACCCCGAAAAUGCCCAGUUCGGGCUGUUGCAAGAGAGGCAUUGUUGAGGGACUUAUAUGCAAUUGUGGCAUGGGUUAAGUGUAUAGAGAGGGUUAGAACACCUCUCU
RNAcentral lists this long non-coding RNA (404 nucleotides) under Ananas comosus (pineapple). RNAcentral describes it as "long non-coding RNA (ACOM_LNC039663)". Lineage: Eukaryota; Viridiplantae; Streptophyta; Magnoliopsida; Poales; Bromeliaceae. The record is from RNAcentral.